Molecule: ribosomal RNA, 1803 nt
Filed under: human gut metagenome
Description: bacterial LSU rRNA
Rfam family: Bacterial large subunit ribosomal RNA
Source: RNAcentral
UGCGUAACAGCUCACUGGUCGAGUGGACAUGCGCCGACAAUACACGGGGCUAAGCUGGACACCGAAGCGGCGGGAUUUUGAUUUACAGAAUCGGUAGGGGAGCUUCCCAUGGGCGGGGAAGCCGUCAGGGCGACCGGCGGUGGAGCGCAUGGGAGUGAGAAUGCUGGCAUGAGUAGCGAGAGACGAGAGAGUAACUCGUCCGCCGUGAACCCGAGGUUUCCUGGGCAAGGCUAAUCCUCCCAGGGUCAGUCGGGGGCUAAGGCGAGGCCGGGAGGCGUAGCCGACGCGCAGCAGGCAGACAUUCCUGCACCGCGCACGCGGCGCUACGACCGACGGGGCGACGGAUGGGGGUGGCUCGGCGGGGUUCUGGACGUCCCCGUGAUGGAGCGCGGCCCGCGGACCAGGGAAAUCCGGUCCGCACGAAGGGCGAGGCUCCGGACGAAGCGAUCAAGCGAAGCGAGUGAGCCCGAGGUCCCUAGAAAAACCCCUAGGCAGGCGCGUGCGCGCCCGUACCGCAAACCGACACAGGUGGGUGGGUAGAACAUACCGAGGCGAUCGGGUCAACCAUGGUCAAGGAACUCGGCACAAUGGCCCCGUAACUUCGGGAGAAGGGGUGCCCGCGCGUACGUGAACGGACUUGCUCCGGGAGCGGAGGCGGGCCGCAGUGGAGAGGCCCAAGCGACUGUUUACCAAAAACACAGGACUCUGCAGAAGCCGCAAGGCGACGUAUAGGGUCUGACGCCUGCCCGGUGCCGGAAGGUCACGCGGAGGAGUUAGCGCAUCGCGCGAAGCCCCGAAGCCAAGCCCCGGUAAACGGCGGCCGUAACUAUAACGGUCCUAAGGUAGCGAAAUUCCUUGUCGGGUAAGUUCCGACCUGCACGAAAGGCGCAACGACUUGGGCGCUGUCUCGACCAUGGACCCGGUGAAAUUGCACUGGUCGUGAAGAUGCGACUUACCCGCGGAAGGACGGAAAGACCCCGUGAACCUUCACUGCAGCUUGGCAUUGGCCGCUGGUCCCGCGUGUAGAGGAUAGGCAGGAGGCUAAGAUCCGGAGGCGCCAGCCCCCGGGGAGCCGCCCUUGGAAUACUGCCCUCGCGCGACCGGCGUCCUAACCCGAGGCCGUCAACCGGCUCGGGGACCGUGCCAGGCGGGCAGUUUGACUGGGGCGGUCGCCUCCUAAAGGGUAACGGAGGCGCGCGAAGGUCCGCUCGGGACGGUCGGCAACCGUCCUUUUGAAUGCAAGAGUACAAGCGGGCUUGACUGCGAGGCCCACAAGCCGAGCAGGUGCGAAAGCAGGCUCUAGUGAUCCGGCGGCCCCGAGUGGGUGGGCCGUCGCUCAACGGAUAAAAGGUACUCCGGGGAUAACAGGCUGAUCUUGCCCAAGAGUCCACAUCGACGGCAAGGUUUGGCACCUCGAUGUCGGCUCAUCGCAUCCUGGGGCUGGAGCAGGUCCCAAGGGUACGGCUGUUCGCCGUUUAAAGCGGUACGCGAGCUGGGUUCAGAACGUCGUGAGACAGUUCGGUCCCUAUCCUCCGUGGGCGCAGGAGAAUCGAUGGAGGCUGCCCCCAGUACGAGAGGACCGGGGUGGACGCACCUCCGGUGAACCGGUUGUCGACCAACGGCACGGCCGGGUAGCCGCGUGCGGCGCGGAUAACCGCUGAAGGCAUCUAAGCGGGAAGCCGUUCCAGGGAUUAGUUCUCCUUCCGGUAAGGGCCCAGGUAGACUACCUGGUCGAUAGACGGCAGGUGCAAGGACGGCGACGUCCUCAGCCGAGCCGCACUAAUCGCCCGAGCUCUUCCGGAA